CCUUCUAAAGCUAAAUAUUGGCCAGAGACCGAUAGCGCACAAGUAGAGUGAUCGAAAGAUGAAAAGCACCUUGAAAAGGGGGUUAAACAGUACGUGAAAUUGUUGAAAGGGAAGCGCUCAUGACCAGACUUGUGCUGGGCAGCUCAUCCGGGGUUCUCCCCGGUGCAUUCUGCCCAGUUCAGGCCAGCAUCGAUUUUUGCUGGGGGAUAAGAACGGUAGGAACGUGGCCCUCCUUCGGGAGGGUGUUAUAGCCUACCGUACGAUACCCUAGCGGAGAUCGAGGUUCGCGCAUCUGCAAGGAUGCUGGCGUAAUGGUCAUCAGCGACCCGUCUUGAAACACGGACCAAGGAGUCGUCCAUUAGAGCGAGCGUUUGGGUGUAAAACCCGCACGCGUAAUGAAAGUGAAAUUAGGUGAGAGCUUCGGCGCAUCAUCGACCGAUCCUGAUGUUCUCGGAUGGAUUUGAGUAAGAGUUUUAACGGACGGACCCGAAAGACAGUGAACUAUGCUUGUAUAGGGUGAAGCCAGAGGAAACUCUGGUGGAGGCUCGCAGCGGUUCUGACGUGCAAAUCGAUCGUCAAAUAUGAGCAUGGGGGCGAAAGACUAAUCGAACUGUCUAGUAGCUGGUUACCGCCGAAGUUUCCCUCAGGAUAGCAGUGUUGACCUUCAGUUUUAUGAGGUAAAGCGAAUGAUUAGGGACUCGGGGGCGCUUUUUAGCCUUCAUCCAUUCUCAAACUUUAAAUAUGUAAGAAGCCCUUGUUACUUAGUUGAACGUGGGCAUUCGAAUGUAUCAACACUAGUGGGCCAUUUUUGGUAAGCAGAACUGGCGAUGCGGGAUGAACCGAACGCGGGGUUAAGGCGCCAGAGUGUACGCUCAUCAGACACCACAAAAGGCGUUAGUACAUCUUGACAGCAGGACGGUGGCCAUGGAAGUCGGAAUCCGCUAAGGACUGUGUAACAACUCACCUGCCGAAUGUACUAGCCCUGAAAAUGGAUGGCGCUCAAGCGUACCGCCCAUACCCCGCCCUCAGGGUAGAA
This 1036-nucleotide ribosomal RNA is filed under the name Coniella vitis. Its description in RNAcentral is "eukaryotic LSU rRNA". It matches the Rfam family "Eukaryotic large subunit ribosomal RNA", at positions 306 to 1365 of the family's 3401-position model. Lineage: Eukaryota; Fungi; Ascomycota; Sordariomycetes; Diaporthales; Schizoparmaceae. The record is from RNAcentral.